This 2374-nucleotide long non-coding RNA is filed under the name Ananas comosus (pineapple). RNAcentral's name for it is "long non-coding RNA (ACOM_LNC017842)". Lineage: Eukaryota; Viridiplantae; Streptophyta; Magnoliopsida; Poales; Bromeliaceae. The record is from RNAcentral.
UCUGCAAAUGUAGUCUACAACGGAGUGAUGCCCGUGGGGCAGACAGACUCCAGGGUUCUACUUAGCGAACUACUUCUAGAAAAGCAGUAAAUGCGGAAAAGAAAAAGAUUACAUUUAGACUACUGCUAGAAAAGCGAUAAAAUGCAGAGGAAAUAAGGGUGGUCUUCUCGUUCAGAAUGGAGAAAGACCUCUAUUGCAGGCUUCUAAGUUACUAUUUAUAAUGUCUUUAAGCCCACUUUAUUGGUCGGUUGAAAGUAGUGGGGGAGAGUGGUUGUAACCAUGAUCGUGGAAGUUACACUAACUCCUUAUGGAAGUUACGCUAACUCCUCAUGGAAGUUACGUGCCACUUCUCAACCGUUCCCGCCUAAACGCUUUUGACCUUCAGGCGCCUUAUUGCCGACUCCUGGUGUACCACGUGUCCUUAUUUCUUUGGCUCAUACAUGGCUUAGGUCGGCAUGUCUCAAUUUUGGCCUCAACAAUGCCCCCCCAAUAGUCUUUCGAAUGAACAUUCGGAUGACUAUUGGUGCCAAAUCGACUGCUCAAUAACACAGCCGAGACCCGAACUUUAGUUUCGCUGGUCUUGGUCGGCUUAAAGAAAACAGCUUUUUAUCAUCUCAGCCACAUAUAUCUCGGCUUUAUCAAUCGAUUCUUUACUUUACUCGAUAGGUUCGGCUCUUCUUGAACCGAAUAUUAUUCUAUCAAGAAUUUUUCCUUGAAGAAAGUUGUUCUUUACCAGCCGUACAUACCUCGGCUUCAUUAGCCGAUUCUUCACUUUCACCUGAUUGGCUCGGCUCUCUUUGAACCGACUGUUCUUCUAGCAAGAAUUUCUCCUUGCCUUUUCUUUGAUUUUUAUAUCGGCUCCAUUGUAGCCGAUCGUCCUCACUUUUCUUCUGAAAUUGCUCAUAUUGGGCAACUUGAACAACUAGAUCAAAUAGGUUAAAAAAUACUUAUCUUCAAAAUGGUCUUUUAUCUUAAAAUGCAGACCAUUUAACGCCAUUUUGGCGAACUCUGAUUCCGGCAUUCUUAUAAAGCACCGAAUUUUGGCUAUUUUGAAACGGUUCAAAUACUCUUCGACCAUUUCACCCGACAUUUGUCGGUAAAAAGUCAAGUCGGCGACCGAUAAUUGUGGCUCCGACCUAUAGAAUUGCUCAUGAAAUUUUUUUUUCUAAUUCAUCCCAAUCUUGGACGGAAUUGGCUGAUAAACUUGUAUACCAAGUAAACGUCGUUUUAGUUAACAACGUGUUAAACAAUCUUAAUUUUAAAAAUGGAUCUGUUGCGGCUUCCCUGCACUGUGCCGUGAACCGUGCCACAUGUUCGAUCGUGUUUUCGGUCUCAUCCUCAGAAAAUUUAUCAAACUUCGGCAUUUUCCAGUUUGCCGGGUAUGGAUGCUCUGUGUCUAUAUUUGCAGGAUAAGGUGAUCUAAAUAUAGGCCUCAUUCUCGGCCUUGCGCCUACUCCAAAAGUAUUUCGGAUAGCUUCUUCGAUUUGUGCAUAUAUUUCAUUAUUGCUUUCCCGUAAAGGAACUUGUGCUUGUGCUGCAUUCGGUCCUUAUAAUGGUUCGAAGUUUUGUACUAUGGGAUUUGCUCCUUGAAUAUUUGGAGCCUGCCGCCCAGCUCUAGCCCCUACAUUUUGGGACUGGUAUGUUGCAAUCGGCGGAGGUGGUGGCAAUCCCCAUGUAAUUUUUGGCUGUUGACCGGUAUUGAUGACGGCCGGUCUGUAAGCCGCUUGGAAUGGUGUCCCCUGAUAUUGGAGUUGUCCAUUUAACGGUAUCGCAGGAUUUUGCAAUACUGGUGUCAUCAUAGGCCCUCGUAAGCCUGUCAUUGGUUGCUCAUUUCGAGUCAAUAAUUGUCCUAUUUGUGCAAUAUUUUCAUUAUAGGCCGUGAUGGCAGCCAGCACCAUGUCUAGUCGAGUGGUACUUUGAUGGAUAUUUUGAUCUAAAGUUUGCAGAACUCGGCUUAUCUGGCCGAGCGCCUGAGUUAGACUCGGCUCUUGAUGAGCCGACUGUCCACUAGUUUCUCCUUCAACUGGCAAAACUGCUUGACAUUCGCCAGUAUUGUCUGAAUCACUAGGUUGAUCACUCCCAGAAUUUCUAGGAAUGACCCUAUUACGUAGAUUUAUGGCGUUAUCAUCAGCCAUAAUCUAUAUAAAAAUGUAAAUUUACGUUAAAAAUAAAGNCCAGUAUUGUCUGAAUCACUAGGUUGAUCACUCCCAGAAUUUCUAGGAAUGACCCUAUUACGUAGAUUUAUGGCGUUAUCAUCAGCCAUAAUCUAUAUAAAAAUGUAAAUUUACCUUAAAAAUAAAGUCCUAUCGGGCGUGCCAAAAAUUAUUAGUAGCCGAAUUUUUCGACCCUCUGGACCGGUCAAAUAUCUUCCCCG